CGCGUUGGGAGCUCUCCCUAUGGUCGACCUGCAGGCGGCCGCGAAUUCACUAGUGAUUGCGGCUGCUGGCACAGAGUUAGCCGGUGCUUAUUCUGCGGGUACCGUCAUAGCAACGAGUUAUUCGCUCGUUACCUUUCUUCCCCACCUAAAGUGCUUUACAACCCGAAGGCCUUCUUCACACACGCGGCAUCGCUGGAUCAGGGUUUCCCCCAUUGUCCAAGAUUCCCCACUGCUGCCUCCCGUAGGAGUCUGGGCCGUGUCUCAGUCCCAGUGUGGCUGGUCAUCCUCUCAGACCAGCUACGGAUCGUCGCCUUGGUAGGCUUUUACCCCACCAACUAGCUAAUCCGACGUAGGCUCACCCCAGAGCGCAAGGCCUUUCGGUCCCCUGCUUUUGAUCUCUCGAUAUCAUGUGGUAUUAGCCCGAGUUUCCUCGGGUUAUCCCACGCUCCAGGACAGAUUCCUACGUGUUACUCACCCGUCCGCCACUCGCCACCCCAUAAAGACCGAAAUCUUUACUGUGCUGCCGUUCGACUUGCAUGUGUUAGGCAUGCCGCCAGCGUUCAAUCUGAGCCAUGAUCAAACUCUAAUCGAAUUCCCGCGGCCGC
Molecule: ribosomal RNA, 605 nt
Filed under: uncultured Gammaproteobacteria bacterium
Lineage: Bacteria; Pseudomonadati; Pseudomonadota; Gammaproteobacteria
Description: partial 16S ribosomal RNA
Source: RNAcentral